Molecule: non-coding RNA, 239 nt
Organism: Pelobates cultripes (western spadefoot toad)
Lineage: Eukaryota; Metazoa; Chordata; Amphibia; Anura; Pelobatidae
Source: the annotation of a GenBank genome assembly
UUUUGUGAUAAAUAUAUGUGGGAUCUUAAAUCUCAAAUUAGCUGUCAACCAAGGCCUUAUUUUGUGUCAUCGGACGUGUCAAUACAAUGGUGUAGACAUGUUUGAAAUAUAUUAAAACUGUAUUUUUUUUGUAUUCAUUUGAAAAUAAAUUAAAUAAAUGCACAUUGCAUCAGAUGUCAGGUCUUCAAAGAGCCUUUUACCCACAAAACAUGUGGAUGGCCACUGCAAAACCUAUGCCG